This 253-nucleotide ribosomal RNA is filed under the name uncultured bacterium. RNAcentral's name for it is "partial 16S ribosomal RNA". It matches the Rfam family "Bacterial small subunit ribosomal RNA", at positions 524 to 776 of the family's 1533-position model. The record is from RNAcentral.
UACGUAGGGGGCGAGCGUUGUCCGGAUUCAUUGGGCGUAAAGCGCGCGUAGGCGGCUUGGCAAGUCGGCCGUGAAAUCUCCGGGCUCAACUCGGAGGGGUCGGGCGAGACUGCCAGGCUCGAGGUGGGCAGAGGGCAGUGGAAUUCCGGGUGUAGUGGUGGAAUGCGUAGAGAUCCGGAGGAACACCAGUGGCGAAGGCGGCUGCCUGGGCCUGGCCUGACGCUGAGGCGCGAAAGCGUGGGGAGCGAUCCGG